UACGUAGGGUGCGAGCGUUGCCCGGAUUUAUUGGGCGUAAAGGGCGCGUAGGCGGCCACGCACGUCCGUUGUGAAAUCGCCCGGCUCAACUGGGCUAGGUCAGCGGAUACGGUGUGGCUCGAGCAAGCUAGGGGGCAAUGGAAUUCCCGGUGUAGUGGUGGAAUGCGUAGAUAUCGGGAGGAACACCAAUGGCGAAGGCAGCUCGCUGGGACGUUACUGACGCUGAGACGCGAAAGCGUGGGGAGCAAGCAGG
This 253-nucleotide ribosomal RNA is filed under the name uncultured bacterium. Its description in RNAcentral is "partial 16S ribosomal RNA". It matches the Rfam family "Bacterial small subunit ribosomal RNA", at positions 524 to 776 of the family's 1533-position model. The record is from RNAcentral.